This 179-nucleotide ribosomal RNA is filed under the name uncultured bacterium. RNAcentral's name for it is "partial 16S ribosomal RNA". It matches the Rfam family "Bacterial small subunit ribosomal RNA", at positions 1321 to 1500 of the family's 1533-position model. The record is from RNAcentral.
UGAAGCUGGAAUUGCUAGUAAUGGCAGGUCAGCAUACUGCCGUGAAUACGUUCCCGGGCCUUGUACACACCGCCCGUCACACCAUGAGAGUUGGAGAUACCCGAAGCCUGUGAGCUAACUUAAAGAGGCAGCAGUCGAAGGUAGAGCCAAUGAUUGGGGUGAAGUCGUAACAAGGUAAC